This 253-nucleotide ribosomal RNA is filed under the name uncultured bacterium. Its description in RNAcentral is "partial 16S ribosomal RNA". It matches the Rfam family "Bacterial small subunit ribosomal RNA", at positions 524 to 776 of the family's 1533-position model. The record is from RNAcentral.
UACGAAGGGGGCUAGCGUUGUUCGGAAUUACUGGGCGUAAAGCGUGCGUAGACGGUUUUGUAAGUCGGAUGUGAAAUCCCCGGGCUCAACCUGGGAAUUGCAUUCGAGACUGCAAGGCUUGGGUGCGGAAGAGGGAAGCGGAAUUUCCGGUGUAGCGGUGAAAUGCGUAGAUAUCGGAAGGAACAUCAGUGGCGAAAGCGGCUUCCUGGUCCAGCACCGACGUUCAGGCACGAAAGCGUGGGGAGCAAACAGG